AUUGAACGCUGGCGGCGGGCCUAACACAUGCAAGUCGAGCGGAAGGACGGUGCUUGCUCCUGGCUUCAGUGGCGGACGGGUGAGUAAUGCCUAGGAACAUGGCCGGUCGCUGGGGAUAACGUCUGGACAAGGGGGCCAAUACCCCAAACGUCCUGAGGGAGAAAGUGGGGGUUCAUGGGAUCUCUCGGUAUUAGAUGAGCCUAGGACUUAUUAGCUAGUUGGUGGGGUAAAGGCCUAACAAGGCGACGAUCCGAAACUGCUCUGAGAGGGUGAACGGGCACACUGGAACUGAGACACGGUCCAGGCUCCUACGGGAGGCAGCAGUGGGGAAUAUUGGACAAUGGGCGAAAGCCUGAUCCAGCCAUGCCGCGUGUGUGAAGAAGGUCUUCGGAUUGUAAAGCACUUUUAGUGGGGAAGAAGAGCAGUAAGUUAAUACAUUGCUGUUUUGACGGUACCUACAGAAUAAGCACCGGCUAACUUCGUG
This 484-nucleotide ribosomal RNA is filed under the name uncultured bacterium. RNAcentral describes it as "partial 16S ribosomal RNA". It matches the Rfam family "Bacterial small subunit ribosomal RNA", at positions 30 to 507 of the family's 1533-position model. The record is from RNAcentral.